This 253-nucleotide ribosomal RNA is filed under the name uncultured bacterium. RNAcentral describes it as "partial 16S ribosomal RNA". It matches the Rfam family "Bacterial small subunit ribosomal RNA", at positions 524 to 776 of the family's 1533-position model. The record is from RNAcentral.
UACGGAGGGUGCAAGCGUUAUCCGGAUUCACUGGGUUUAAAGGGUGCGUAGGUGGGCAAGUAAGUCAGUGGUGAAAUCUCCGGGCUUAACCCGGAAACUGCCAUUGAUACUAUCUGUCUUGAAUAUCCUGGAGGUGAGCGGAAUAUGUCAUGUAGCGGUGAAAUGCUUAGAUAUGACAUAGAACACCCAUUGCGAAGGCAGCUCACUACGGGAUCAUUGACACUGAGGCACGAAGGCGUGGGGAUCAAACAGG